UUUGACCUCGGAUCAGGUAGGAAUACCCGCUGAACUUAAGCAUAUCAAUAAGGGGAGGA
RNAcentral lists this ribosomal RNA (59 nucleotides) under Phomopsis sp. ISPaVe 1947. RNAcentral's name for it is "partial 28S ribosomal RNA". Lineage: Eukaryota; Fungi; Ascomycota; Sordariomycetes; Diaporthales; Diaporthaceae. The record is from RNAcentral.